GAUCAUUCUCGACUAGUUACAGUGGUUCGAUUGCAUCGAAAAGGUAUAACCACUCUAUUGAUAUUAAAUGCUCCAGAGUAGAGAUGGAAUUGGGCCCAAUAACUGUUAGGUGAGGAACUCAAUGACGGCUUUACAUCCACUGAUGAACGGUAGGUCUAAUUUAACUAAGAAAUGUGCUAAUAACUGUUAGGUGAGGCCAUAGAAC
RNAcentral lists this long non-coding RNA (205 nucleotides) under Elaeis guineensis (African oil palm). Its description in RNAcentral is "long non-coding RNA (EGUI_LNC047458)". The record is from RNAcentral. Lineage: Eukaryota; Viridiplantae; Streptophyta; Magnoliopsida; Arecales; Arecaceae.